AGAGUUUGAUCAUGGCUCAGGACGAACGCUGGCGGCGUGCCUAACACAUGCAAGUCGAACGGAUCACAUGAUUUCGGUUGUGUGGUGAGUGGCGAACGGGUGAGUAACACGUGAGUAACCUGCCCCGGACUUUGGGAUAACGACUCGAAAGGGUUGCUAAUACCGGAUAUUGAGCUGCCGCUGCAUGGUGGUGGUUUGAAAGAUUUUUUGGUUCGGGAUGGGCUCGCGGCCUAUCAGCUUGUUGGUGGGGUGAUGGCCUACCAAGGCGUCGACGGGUAGCCGGCCUGAGAGGGCGACCGGCCACACUGGGACUGAGAUACGGCCCAGACUCCUACGGGAGGCAGCAGUGGGGAAUAUUGCACAAUGGGCGGAAGCCUGAUGCAGCAACGCCGCGUGCGGGAUGAAGGCCUUCGGGUUGUAAACCGCUUUCAGCUAUGACGAAUUUGACGGUAGUAGCAGAAGAAGCACCGGCUAACUACGUGCCAGCAGCCGCGGUGAUACGUAGGGUGCGAGCGUUGUCCGGAUUUAUUGGGCGUAAAGAGCUCGUAGGUGGUUGUUUGCGUCGGAAGUGAAAACCUAGCGCUUAACGGUGGGCUUGCUUUCGAUACGGGAUGACUUGAGGGAGGUAGGGGAGAACGGAAUUCCUGGUGGAGCGGUGGAAUGCGCAGAUAUCAGGAGGAACACCGGUGGCGAAGGC
Molecule: ribosomal RNA, 697 nt
Filed under: uncultured bacterium
Lineage: Bacteria
Description: bacterial SSU rRNA
Rfam family: Bacterial small subunit ribosomal RNA
Source: RNAcentral